RNAcentral lists this transfer-messenger RNA (400 nucleotides) under uncultured Prevotella sp. It matches the Rfam family "transfer-messenger RNA". Rfam says of the family: Bacterial tmRNA, also known as 10Sa RNA or SsrA, is named for its dual tRNA and mRNA-like properties. Its role is to liberate the mRNA from a stalled ribosome. To accomplish this part of the tmRNA is used as a reading frame that ends in a translation stop signal. The record is from RNAcentral. Lineage: Bacteria; Pseudomonadati; Bacteroidota; Bacteroidia; Bacteroidales; Prevotellaceae.
GGGGCUGACCGGAUUUGACGGCAAGCCGGAGUGAGCUGUAAGCACGCGGAGCAGUGUAUAUUCUCUCCUUAAACAGAAUAUUCAGAAAAAUAAUUGGCAACAACAGAUUUGCUCUCGCUGCCUAAACGAAGAACAGUAGUUUAAGGCUCAAUCCCACCGCAAGGCGGAGGGACGAGACAUCGCUCAAGGACUCUGUUUCCGAAAUGCCUUGGUCAAGCGGUGCUGAACACGUCGGAAAUAGUGAUGUCGGGUCUUGACGGCAACAUGAAAAUUUAGAGACUAAGGCGGUGAUUGGUGGUCCGGGUCUUGUCAUCGCUCGAAAAACGAAGACCGGAAUAAGCGUGUAGAAAGCAUCUUGUUUCCUUGUGCGGACGAGGGUUCGACUCCCUCCAGCUCCACU